This 497-nucleotide ribosomal RNA is filed under the name uncultured bacterium. RNAcentral describes it as "partial 16S ribosomal RNA". It matches the Rfam family "Bacterial small subunit ribosomal RNA", at positions 28 to 507 of the family's 1533-position model. The record is from RNAcentral.
GAUGAACGCUGGCGGCGUGCCUAAUACAUGCAAGUCGAGCGAACAGACGAGGAGCUUGCUCCUCUGACGUUAGCGGCGGACGGGUGAGUAACACGUGGAUAACCUACCUAUAAGACUGGGAUAACUUCGGGAAACCGGAGCUAAUACCAGAUAAUAUAUUGAACCGCAUGGUUCAAUAGUGAAAGACGGUUUUGCUGUCACUUAUAGAUGGAUCCGCGCCGCAUCAGCUAGUUGGUAAGGUAACGGCUUACCAAGGCAACGAUGCGUAGCCGACCUGAGAGGGUGAUCGGCCACACUGGAACUGAGACACGGUCCAGACUCCUACGGGAGGCAGCAGUAGGGAAUCUUCCGCAAUGGGCGAAAGCCUGACGGAGCAACGCCGCGUGAGUGAUGAAGGUCUUCGGAUCGUAAAACUCUGUUAUUAGGGAAGAACAAAUGUGUAAGUAACUAUGCACGUCUUGACGGUACCUAAUCAGAAAGCCACGGCUAACUACGUG